RNAcentral lists this ribosomal RNA (116 nucleotides) under Pteropus alecto (black flying fox). Lineage: Eukaryota; Metazoa; Chordata; Mammalia; Chiroptera; Pteropodidae. The record is from RNAcentral.
GUCUACGGCCAUGCCACGCUGAACAAGCCUGCCAUCUGAUCUGGAAGCUAAGCAGGGUUGGGCCUGGUUAGUACUUGGAUGGAAGACCACCUAGGGAGACCAAGUGACUGUAGGCA